UCGGCUUUUUUCAUUACAAAUUUGUCCCGCUUUAAAAAAUAUUCUUUUACAUGGGACCGAAGUUGCAGGGAUGCAGAGCCUUUUGAGCAUUAUUUUAUAUAAAUUUGGGUAUAGAUUUUUUCUUGCUUCCCACCAAAUUAGAGGAUCGUUUGUCCUGGUAAUGUGGAGUUCGGCCAAAUAUUUGUCUAACUCUAUAAUUGCUGCAGUAGAGGGAUUGUGCAUUCCUUGAAGGUGGCUUAUUGUGAUAUCAAAUUCUUCCCAAACUGAGAUUGUCGAAGAUGUCGUCAAAAGAGGUUGGACUGGUUGGGAAUGUUGGGACAAAGGCCCGUAUUCAUAGUCGAGUCUCAAAUUAACACAUAAGAUGAUUAUGAUCAAGUCUAUUUUAUUCAAUCUAGAUCGUCUUAAGAUUAAUAGAUUUCAUAAUCGUCAUAGAUUUCAUAGCCGUGAAAUAAGACAAUCUUCGUGAAGAAGUUAACACUCAAGUAAAUCUUAUUUAAUUUGAGACUGACUUGAUGAAGACAUACUUAAGCCUGUGCUUAUUUUCGCGCGCGCGAAUCGGCUAUUUUCGUAAUAUUACUAUUAUUCCUCCAAUAGGAACAUAGCAUUUCCUCCAAUAGAAACAUUGCAUCGGAGACACAUAUGAUACAUGCAGACAUGCAAUAUACGUAUUCUUGUGUGCUGUUAUCUUGCGUUCGUACGGAUGUGUUUCAUCGCUUCAAUUUUCAAUCUUCAUUGAAAAAAAUCAUCGAGAAAUAUACAGAAUGUCUUGCAAAGAGAAGCCUACAAGCAAAAACAAACACUAUUCAUUGAUGGAAAGGAAAUUAUUCUUACAAAUACUAGAAAAACAUGUAAUAGAAAUAAAAAAAAAGCGACGGCACAACAUUAAAAGAUAAAGACCUUGCAUGGAGUGAAGUAUGUAAAGAAUACAAUCAAUCGACACUAAUCUCUCAAGAAAGAACUUCAACAAUUGAAAAAAUUGUGGCCAAAUCUAAAGCAGUCGCAGAGAGAUGUAUUAACUAAAGAAAAACAAUCGCGUUUAGCAACUGGUGGAGGACCAGAAGAAACUGAAGCAAAAAUUGAUCCUGAUGUACUUAAUAUAGCACCAUAUCUAAUAUAAAAUGCACCAGUAUUAUUUACAUCAAAUAUGACAGAUUUAGAGAUUGAAGAAAAGCGUGAA
Long non-coding RNA from Nylanderia fulva, 1177 nucleotides. RefSeq lists it as uncharacterized. The record is from RefSeq and is a predicted model, not a curated record. NCBI's taxonomy places the organism in Eukaryota, Metazoa, Arthropoda, Insecta, Hymenoptera, Formicidae.